Molecule: ribosomal RNA, 497 nt
Filed under: uncultured bacterium
Lineage: Bacteria
Description: partial 16S ribosomal RNA
Rfam family: Bacterial small subunit ribosomal RNA
Source: RNAcentral
GACGAACGCUGGCGGCGUGCCUAAUACAUGCAAGUUGAGCGAUGAAGAUUGGUGCUUGCACCAAUUUGAAGAGCAGCGCACGGGUGAGUAACGCGUGGGGAAUCUGCCUUUGAGCGGGGGACAACAUUUGGAAACGAAUGCUAAUACCGCAUAAUAACUUUAAACAUAAGUUUUAAGUUUGAAAGAUGCAAUUGCAUCACUCAAAGAUGAUCCCGCGUUGUAUUAGCUAGUUGGUGAGGUAAAGGCUCACCAAGGCGAUGAUACAUAGCCGACCUGAGAGGGUGAUCGGCCACAUUGGGACUGAGACACGGCCCAAACUCCUACGGGAGGCAGCAGUAGGGAAUCUUCGGCAAUGGACGAAAGUCUGACCGAGCAACGCCGCGUAAGUGAAGAAGGUUUUCGGAUCGUAAAACUCUGUUGGUAGAGAAGAACGUUGGUGAGAGUGGAAAGCUCAUCAAGUGACGGUAACUACCCAGAAAGGGACGGCUAACUACGUG